RNAcentral lists this ribosomal RNA (429 nucleotides) under bacterium. RNAcentral describes it as "partial 16S ribosomal RNA". It matches the Rfam family "Bacterial small subunit ribosomal RNA", at positions 355 to 776 of the family's 1533-position model. The record is from RNAcentral.
UAGGGAAUCUUCGGCAAUGGGGGCAACCCUGACCGAGCAACGCCGCGUGAGUGAAGAAGGUUUUCGGAUCGUAAAGCUCUGUUGUAAGAGAAGAACGUGUGUGAGAGUGGAAAGUUCACACAGUGACGGUAACUUACCAGAAAGGGACGGCUAACUACGUGCCAGCAGCCGCGGUAAUACGUAGGUCCCGAGCUUUGUCCGGAUUUAUUGGGCGUAAAGCGAGCGCAGGCGGUUUAAUAAGUCUGAAGUUAAAGGCAGUGGCUUAACCAUUGUUCGCUUUGGAAACUGUUUAACUUGAGUGCAGAAGGGAAGAGUGGAAUUCCAUGUGUAGCGGUGAAAUGCGUAGAUAUAUGGAGGAACACCGGUGGCGAAAGCGGCUCUCUGGUCUGUAACUGACGCUGAGGCUCGAAAGCGUGGGGAGCAAACAGG